This 795-nucleotide ribosomal RNA is filed under the name uncultured archaeon. Its description in RNAcentral is "bacterial SSU rRNA". It matches the Rfam family "Archaeal small subunit ribosomal RNA", at positions 492 to 1287 of the family's 1478-position model. The record is from RNAcentral.
UAGCCGUUUUUAUUGGGUCUAAAGGGUCCGUAGCCGGCUGAUAAGUCCUUUGGGAAAUCUGGCAGCUUAACUGUCAGGCUUCUAAGGGAUACUGUCAGGCUUGGGACCGGAAGAGGUAAGGGGUACUCCAGGGGUAGGAGUGAAAUCUUGUAAUCCCUGGGGGACCAUCUGUGGCGAAGGCGCCUUACCAGAACGGGUCCGACGGUGAGGGACGAAAGCUAGGGGAGCAAACCGGAUUAGAUACCCGGGUAGUCCUAGCUGUAAACGAUGCUCGCUAGGUGUCAGACACGGUGCGACCGUGUUUGGUGCCGCAGGGAAGCCGUUAAGCGAGCCACCUGGGAAGUACGGUCGCAAGGCUGAAACUUAAAGGAAUUGGCGGGGGAGCACUACAACGGGUGGAGCCUGCGGUUUAAUUGGAUUCAACGCCGGAAAACUCACCGGGUGCGACAGCAAUAUGUAGGUCAGGCUGAAGGUCUUACCUGAAUCGCUGAGAGGAGGUGCAUGGCCGUCGUCAGUUCGUACUGUGAAGCAUCCUGUUAAGUCAGGCAACGAGCGAGACCCGCGCCCACAGUUGCCAGCAUGUUCUCCGGAACGAUGGGUACACUGUGGGGACCGCCGCUGCUAAAGCGGAGGAAGGAACGGGCUACGGUAGGUCAGUAUGCCCCGAAUCUCCCGGGCUACACGCGGGCUACAAUGGUUGGGACAAUGGGCACCUACCCUGAAAAGGGACGGUAAUCUCCUAAACCCAACCGUAGUUCGGAUUGAGGGCUGUAACUCGCCCUCAUGAAGCUGGAA